UGAACGCUGGCGGCGUGCUUACCACAUGCACGUCGAACGAUGAAGCCCAGCUUGCUGGGUGGAUUAGUGGCGAACGGGUGAGUAACACGUGAGUAACCUGCCCUUAACUCUGGGAUAAGCCUGGGAAACUGGGUCUAAUACCGGAUAGGAGCGUCCACCGCAUGGUGGGUGUUGGAAAGAUUUAUCGGUUUUGGAUGGACUCGCGGCCUAUCAGCUUGUUGGUGAGGUAAUGGCUCACCAAGGCGACGACGGGUAGCCGGCCUGAGAGGGUGACCGGCCACACUGGGACUGAGACACGGCCCAGACUCCUACGGGAGGCAGCAGUGGGGAAUAUUGCACAAUGGGCGCAAGCCUGAUGCAGCGACGCCGCGUGAGGGAUGACGGCCUUCGGGUUGUAAACCUCUUUCAGUAGGGAAGAAGCGAAAGUGACGGUACCUGCAGAAGAAGCACCGGCUAACUACGUG
RNAcentral lists this ribosomal RNA (464 nucleotides) under uncultured bacterium. RNAcentral's name for it is "partial 16S ribosomal RNA". It matches the Rfam family "Bacterial small subunit ribosomal RNA", at positions 30 to 507 of the family's 1533-position model. The record is from RNAcentral.